Molecule: unclassified non-coding RNA, 147 nt
Filed under: uncultured Pseudeurotium
Lineage: Eukaryota; Fungi; Ascomycota; Leotiomycetes; Thelebolales; Pseudeurotiaceae
Description: sequence contains ITS2
Source: RNAcentral
CGACCCUCAAGCUCUGCUUGGUAUUGGGCUCUGCCGGUCCUGGCAGGCCUCAAAGUCAGUGGCGGUGCCAUCCGGCUCCAAGCGUGGUAAUUCUUCUCGCAUCGGAGGCCGCGGUGCGUGCUAGCCAGCAACCCCCAAUUUUUUUCA